UCCCGGUUGGUGCAACGGUAGCACCCCUGACUCUGACUCAGGUGAUCGUGGUUCGAAUCCAUGACCGGGAG
Molecule: transfer RNA, 71 nt
Rfam family: tRNA
About the family: Transfer RNA (tRNA) molecules are approximately 80 nucleotides in length. Their secondary structure includes four short double-helical elements and three loops (D, anti-codon, and T loops).